ACCGGGGCCGGCGGGCACUGGGGGCGCGCCCCGGCAUGGCCUCCGUCCUGCCCGCCCCACAGGGGGGGUCGGCUCGUUCGCUCGUGUGGUCCCGGAGGGCACCGCGGAUUGGGGGCGCCUGGCCCGUCCCCUGCCGCAUUCCGUGGGGGCGGGACCGCGGGGCCUGGGGGCCACACGGGCGGCCCGCAGCUGGGCCCUGGAGUGCGGCCCCAGCGUCUCUUCCUCAGGCUCGGGCAUGAUCCGCGGCGGGAAAGCAGCGCGUCCAGCCGAAGCCUGGGGGUCGGAGAGCUUGUGUGACUGAGAACGUUUCGGAAGGCGUUUCUGACCUUUGCACCUGCCCUCCCAGCUCGUUGGCUUGCUUGUGUUUGUUGCUGGAUAAAUGUGAGCUUGUUGUGAAAAUUGUCUUGAAAUUAUAAUUUCUUGUUUCUUGCCUUUUUUUUAAGGCUGAACUCCGAGCAGCUGUGUUUUUAGCACUAGAGGAGCAAGAAAAAGUAGAGAACAAAACUCCUUUAGUUAAUGAGAGCCUGAAAAAGUUUUUAAAUACCAAAGACGGUCGUUUAGUGGCUAGUCUUGUUGCAGAAUUUCUUCAGUUUUUUAACCUUGACUUUACUUUGGCUGUUUUUCAACCUGAAACUAGCACACUGCAAGGUCUCGAAGGUCGAGAGAAUUUAGCCCGAGAUUU
Molecule: small RNA, 682 nt
Filed under: Pan troglodytes (chimpanzee)
Lineage: Eukaryota; Metazoa; Chordata; Mammalia; Primates; Hominidae
Description: processed transcript
Source: RNAcentral